Molecule: ribosomal RNA, 497 nt
Filed under: uncultured bacterium
Lineage: Bacteria
Description: partial 16S ribosomal RNA
Rfam family: Bacterial small subunit ribosomal RNA
Source: RNAcentral
GACGAACGCUGGCGGCGUGCCUAAUACAUGCAAGUUGAGCGAUGAAGAUUGGUGCUUGCACCAAUUUGAAGAGCAGCGAACGGGUGAGUAACGCGUGGGGAAUCUGCCUUUGAGCGGGGGACAACAUUUGGAAACGAAUGCUAAUACCGCAUAACAACUUUAAACAUAAGUUUUAAGUUUGAAAGAUGCAAUUGCAUCAUUCAAAGAUGAUUCCGCGUUGUAUUAGGUAGUUGGUGAGGUAAAGGCUCACCAAGGCGAUGUUACAUAGCCGACCUGAGAGGGUGGUCAGCCACAUUGGGACUGUGACACGGCCCAAACUCCUUCAGGUGGCGGCAGGAGGGAAUCGUCAGGAAGCGGCGGAAGACUGACCGAGCAACGCCGCGUGAGUGAAGAAGGUUGUCGGAUCGUAAAACUCUGUUGGUGGGGAAGAACGUUGGUGAGAGUGGAAAGCUCAUCAAGUGACGGUAACUACCCAGAAAGGGACGGCUAACUACGUG